CAUAGUUUUCGGUUCCCUCUCCCACUCCUCGAUCCUUCUGAAUACUCGGCGAUCUCCUUCGAUGGCGAGAUGGUAGGAGCUCCAGCGGUACGGCGAUUCUCUCGCUGGCUACCGGAUCCUCGUCGCCGGCUCCGUCGUUUCCUUUAACGCGCCGGGGAGAUAAACACCUUGCAGCGCCAGGAAAGAAGCAAUCACAACAUCAAGUAGCGAUCUUACCUGACUAAAUGAGAGUACGUUGGCUUGGGCUAUUUGCCCACCAAGGGAUCACAACAAAAGGAGGUAUUCUUGCUAUCGAGGUCAGGACUGUCAGGUGGCUGCCAAUUUCUCUGCUGCUACUGAUUUCAAGCUUAUGCAUCUCGUGACCUGCGGAGCCAUGCUUGGUUCUGUACCGCAACUUUUUUCUAACGCCUUUAACUGGUAUUCUUCUUUUAGACUAACUCGGGCCCCUUUUGGGAUUACUUCUGCUUUCUUUUUUUAGUUUACUUCUGUUUUUGUUGUUUUAACGAAUAGGACCAAUUUUGCUGACGAUUUGAUGUUCUUUGUCUUCUUUUAAAUCGUCAACAGGUAGAAGUGGAGAAAUCAUUCGAUCAUCCAGCAGAGAUUAUUGGCCACCGAGGGGUAAGUCUUUAAUAAUUUCGAAGCAAAAGUUUUUACUUUUUAGAAUUCCUUGAAACAAUGAAUUUACCAAACAUGGGUCUUACAUCGGCUUUCCAUUUUCUAGGUGUGUGUAUAAUCUCUCGAGUUCUUAGUUGUAUUCCUCUAUCUUUUUUUUAUUGAAACUAUUACAUGGCCUUGAUCAGUCAAGUUCAGAGGUCUAGGGUUUGACUUUGGACAUGAGCUCGAAGGAACUAAUUUUGAAAAAUAAAAUAAAAUCCACUAAACCAAAUCCAAACUCUUAAGGGUGUUCGUCAGCCGACCUGGUCAAGAACCGUGACGAACAGAAUCAACCAUGGUAUGGUUUCAAAUUUGAAAUCUACCAUGUAAUUUUGACCUGGAUCUGGUAGUAGAAAGCAGAAACAUGAUCUUAAUGCACUCAUACAUAAAUUGAAAUGUCAUAAAUUUAUGCAUAAAACAUGAUGAAGUACAAGUAAUUAUAUACUUGACAAGGAAGGGAAUGCAAUUUUCAGGUUUUUGCA
Musa acuminata AAA Group (dessert banana) is the source of this 1136-nucleotide long non-coding RNA. RefSeq lists it as uncharacterized. The record is from RefSeq and is a predicted model, not a curated record. The transcript has 3 exons. Lineage: Eukaryota; Viridiplantae; Streptophyta; Magnoliopsida; Zingiberales; Musaceae.